RNAcentral lists this long non-coding RNA (327 nucleotides) under Pan troglodytes (chimpanzee). Its description in RNAcentral is "lncRNA (ENSPTRG00000053211.1)". The record is from RNAcentral. Lineage: Eukaryota; Metazoa; Chordata; Mammalia; Primates; Hominidae.
UGGCUCUUACUGUCGUAACUGGUAGCAUAUUUUUCUCUUAGAUAUACAUAAAAUCAGUGCACACCCAGCCGGCAAUGAUGUCUUAGAGGUGAUGAACAACCACAGUUGUUAAAUAAAUGAAGAUUUUGAGUCAGAAUAUGGACAUGCCAGAGGUCUGGUGUCGAAGAGAGGUGAGCAAAAGCCAGCUGGACAGGAUGAGAGGAGCUGCCUGACAUGGACGAGUUGCCUCCCUUAAGGUGGAGCCUUGCAAUCUAAAUCAAUGAUCUAGAUGAAUUUUUAAAUGAAAAAAACACUAUUGAAAUAUUUCUAAGCAUUUGUGAAUUUAUG